GUGUGGAAUAUUGGGCAAUGGGCGAAAGCCUGACCCAGCAACGCCGCGUGAAGGAAGAAGGUUUUCGGAUCGUAAACUUCUAUCCUUGGUGAAGAUAAUGACGGUAGCCAAGAAGGAAGCCCCGGCUAACUACGUGCCAGCAGCCGCGGUAAUACGUAGGGGGCAAGCGUUGUCCGGAAUGAUUGGGCGUAAAGGGCGCGUAGGCGGCCCGGUAAGUCUGAAGUGAAAGUCCUGCUUUUAAGGUGGGAAUUGCUUUGGAUACUGUCGGGCUUGAGUGCAGGAGAGGUAAGUGGAAUUCCCGGUGUAGCGGUGAAAUGCGUAGAGAUCGGGAGGAACACCAGUGGCGAAGGCGACUUACUGGACUGUAACUGACGCUGAGGCGCGAAAGUGUGGGGAGCAAACAGGAUUAGAUACCCCAGUAGUCC
Molecule: ribosomal RNA, 425 nt
Filed under: uncultured bacterium
Lineage: Bacteria
Description: partial 16S ribosomal RNA
Rfam family: Bacterial small subunit ribosomal RNA
Source: RNAcentral